This 399-nucleotide ribosomal RNA is filed under the name uncultured bacterium. Its description in RNAcentral is "bacterial SSU rRNA". It matches the Rfam family "Bacterial small subunit ribosomal RNA", at positions 358 to 774 of the family's 1533-position model. The record is from RNAcentral.
GGAAUAUUGCACAAUGGGGGAAACCCUGACGCAGCGACGCCGCGUGAAGGAAGAAGUAUCUCGGUAUGUAAACUUCUAUCAGCAGGGAAGAAGAUGACGGUACCUGGUUAAGAAGCACCGGCUAAAUACGUGCCAGCAGCCGCGGUAAUACGUAUGGUGCAAGCGUUAUCCGGAUUUACUGGGUGUAAAGGGAGCGUAGACGGAUAGGCAAGUCUGGAGUGAAAACCCAGGGCUCAACCCUGGGACUGCUUUGGAAACUGCAGAUCUGGAGUGCCGGAGAGGUAAGCGGAAUUCCUAGUGUAGCGGUGAAAUGCGUAGAUACUAGGAGGAACACCAGUGGCGAAGGCGGCUUACUGGACGGUGACUGACGUUGAGGCUCGAAAGCGUGGGGAGCAAACA